This 449-nucleotide ribosomal RNA is filed under the name uncultured bacterium. RNAcentral's name for it is "partial 16S ribosomal RNA". It matches the Rfam family "Bacterial small subunit ribosomal RNA", at positions 29 to 523 of the family's 1533-position model. The record is from RNAcentral.
AACGAACGCUGGCGGCAUGCCUAACACAUGCAAGUCGAACGAGAGCUUCGGCUCUAGUGGCGCACGGGUGCGUAACGCGUGGGAAUCUGCCCUUGGGUUCGGAAUAACAGUUGGAAACGACUGCUAACACCGGAUGAUGACGUAAGUCCAAAGAUUUAUCGCCCUGGGAUGAGCCCGCGUCGGAUUAGCUAGUUGGUGGGGUAAAGGCCUACCAAGGCGACGAUCCGUAGCUGGUCUGAGAGGAUGAUCAGCCACACUGGGACUGAGACACGGCCCAGACUCCUACGGGAGGCAGCAGUGGGGAAUAUUGGACAAUGGGCGCAAGCCUGAUCCAGCAAUGCCGCGUGAGUGAUGAAGGCCUUAGGGUUGUAAAGCUCUUUUACCCGGGAAGAUAAUGACUGUACCGGGAGAAUAAGCCCCGGCUAACUCCGUGCCAGCCGCCGCUGUAA